Molecule: long non-coding RNA, 609 nt
Organism: Schistocerca cancellata (South American locust)
Lineage: Eukaryota; Metazoa; Arthropoda; Insecta; Orthoptera; Acrididae
Exons: 3
Source: RefSeq, a predicted model, not a curated record
GCCAGCGGCUAUUUCCGAAGAAGUACGUAAAUAUUUGUUCGCUACAGUAACUAUCAUCUCUGUAAUAUCACCGGGGUCUAGUGAUGGGCUAAACUGCGAUUUUCCGAUAUCAGUGAUUUCUGUGAAUGCUACUUUUCAGUAUCUGUUAUUCUUGACUGUGAUUUGUCGCAGUUAAGGAACAUAGGUCGUGUAUCCUUCCGCCACUGCUAUUUCUGCUACUUCCGCGAUUUCUGCUACUUCUGCGAUUUCUGUGACUUUUGCUACUUCUGCGAUUUCUGUGAUUCCUGCGAUUUCUGCGACUUACCACCGUAUGAAAAAGUUACAUCUGUCCACACAGAAAAUUGCAUCUCAACAAACCUGUCAUUGGCAAGUACCUGAACUACAUUUCAGUCACUCAGUAAAGUGAUAACUCAAAAUAUCAUUGUCAACAGAUCUGAAGAAAUUGCCACUGCGUCUUUAGACCGUUUUCGUCAGACGAGAGACACAGUUCUGACUCUGAUUACUGGUUGCUGUAAGUAUCUAUCCACAUCAAGGCUGUUUUUGAGAGAGACUCGUGAAGAUUCAAGACAGCUCUUAGAGAAUUUGCAGUUUAAAAGUGAAAUAAUUGUG